AUUAUUAAUGGCUGUAGCACUAAAGUUCUUGGAAAAAAAAAAAAAAGCUCACUUGAGAACCAUGUUUUUUGGAUUAUAAAAUAUCUGAAAGAUAUUUUUCUUUUCUUCAGCCAAAGAUUGCCCAGUUUUCCCAAGCAGAAUUCAUUCCAUGCCACCACAUUGGAUCCCUGGGACCAAAACUCAUCUUUGAUGAUAAGCAGGCAAAGAAGCCCAUUGCAAUAUGUUCAUCACUUCUACCACACAGCUCUAUUCAUGUGCAGGAACAGAGAUUUGAAAUAGGGCUGCCUAUUCUGGAGAUUGACCAGGUUACGUUUGGGGACUACACUGGUCCUGCAGGACUCAGUUCUGCUCCCUGGAACUACUGAGGGUUUUCUGAUGUCACUGAAGAUUCAAACCGUUCUCUUGUCAAAAGCAGAAUCCAAGAGUUGUGGGACGAGCUGUGGGUAGACACAGACGUGGUUUGUCUAUCUGGAGCGUGCGUUGUGGUGGUUGAGAUUUCCGCCGACCAACGUGCUUUGCAAAAGACUUGUGGUGUUCCCAGCAUAGGGAAUUUGUCCGCCAAGCCAUCUUCAAGACAUGUCUGCAUCGCUGCUGGAGGGAUGCAGAGGUGGUUCCACACAAUUGGGAAAAUUCAUGGGCAAGGUAAUCCCCACCAGCUCUGCAUGCAUGGACACUAGAUCCAUUGUGCUUAAAGAUGAAGAGAACAGUAGUAUGAAGACCUACAAAUUAAGAUUAGAGACCUGCCCUUCUGAUGGAUGGAAGAAAAGGGAGACCCAGGAGAAGGCUCUCAGUGUAAUUACUUGAGAGGAAAUAUGGGCUAGCUGGGCCAUUUAUAUGCUAUUGCUGUUGGAUGCUCUUCUUUGUACUAUGCAAGCAUGUCCCUAGAUUAACACUAUCCCCAUGGAGUCAGCCAACACAAAAGUCACUCUUUGCCUCGUGGGCACUGAGGUCCUCCUGAGUGCACAACCAUAAUAAAGAAAAUAACCUGGAGCUGCA
Molecule: long non-coding RNA, 996 nt
Filed under: Phasianus colchicus (ring-necked pheasant)
Lineage: Eukaryota; Metazoa; Chordata; Aves; Galliformes; Phasianidae
Description: lncRNA (ENSPCLG00000015369.1)
Source: RNAcentral